RNAcentral lists this transfer RNA (83 nucleotides) under Oryctolagus cuniculus (rabbit). It matches the Rfam family "tRNA". Rfam says of the family: Transfer RNA (tRNA) molecules are approximately 80 nucleotides in length. The record is from Rfam by way of RNAcentral. Lineage: Eukaryota; Metazoa; Chordata; Mammalia; Lagomorpha; Leporidae.
GGAGCUGUGGCGCAGUAGGUUAACGCCCUGGCCUGAAGUGCCGGCAUCCCACAUGGGCGCCGGUUCUAGUCCGGGUUGCUCCA